CACUCCUGCGGGAGGCAGCAGUGGGGAAUAUUGCACAAUGGGCGCAAGCCUGAUGCAGCCAUGCCGCGUGUAUGAAGAAGGCCUUCGGGUUGUAAAGUACUUUCAGCGGGGAGGAAGGCGAUAAGGUUAAUAACCUUGUCGAUUGACGUUACCCGCAGAAGAAGCACCGGCUAACUCCGUGCCAGCAGCCGCGGUAAUACGGAGGGUGCAAGCGUUAAUCGGAAUUACUGGGCGUAAAGCGCACGCAGGCGGUCUGUCAAGUCGGAUGUGAAAUCCCCGGGCUCAACCUGGGAACUGCAUUCGAAACUGGCAGGCUAGAGUCUUGUAGAGGGGGGUAGAAUUCCAGGUGUAGCGGUGAAAUGCGUAGAGAUCUGGAGGAAUACCGGUGGCGAAGGCGGCCCCCUGGACAAAGACUGACGCUCAGGUGCGAAAGCGUGGGGAGCAAACAGGAUUAGAUACCCCUGUAGUCC
This 470-nucleotide ribosomal RNA is filed under the name uncultured organism. RNAcentral's name for it is "partial 16S ribosomal RNA". It matches the Rfam family "Bacterial small subunit ribosomal RNA", at positions 334 to 796 of the family's 1533-position model. The record is from RNAcentral.